CGGCCGUAACUAUAACGGUCCUAAGGUAGCGAAAUUCCUUGUCGGGUAAGUUCCGACCCGCACGAAAGGCGUAACGAUUUGGGCACUGUCUCAACGAGAGACUCGGUGAAAUCAUAGUACCUGUGAAGAUGCAGGUUACCCGCGACAGGACGGAAAGACCCCGUGGAGCUUUACUGUAGCCUGAUAUUGAAAUUCGGCACAGCUUGUACAGGAUAGGUAGGAGCCUUUGAAACGUGAGCGCUAGCUUACGUGGAGGCGCUGGUGGGAUACUACCCUAGCUGUGUUGGCUUUCUAACCCGCACCACUUAUCGUGGUGGGAGACAGUGUCAGGCGGGCAGUUUGACUGGGGCGGUCGCCUCCUAAAAGGUAACGGAGGCGCUCAAAGGUUCCCUCAGAAUGGUUGGAAAUCAUUCAUAGAGUGUAAAGGCAUAAGGGAGCUUGACUGCGAGACCUACAAGUCGAG
Molecule: ribosomal RNA, 463 nt
Filed under: Staphylococcus aureus
Lineage: Bacteria; Bacillati; Bacillota; Bacilli; Caryophanales; Staphylococcaceae
Description: partial 23S ribosomal RNA
Rfam family: Bacterial large subunit ribosomal RNA
Source: RNAcentral